AUUGAACGCUGGCGGCAGGCCUAACACAUGCAAGUCGAACGGUAACAGGAAACAGCUUGCUGUUUCGCUGACGAGUGGCGGACGGGUGGGUAAUGUCUGGGAAACUGCCUGAUGGAGGGGGAUAACUACUGGAAACGGUAGCUAAUACCGCAUAACGUCGCAAGACCAAAGAGGGGGACCUUCGGGCCUCUUGCCAUCGGAUGUGCCCAGAUGGGAUUAGCUAGUAGGUGGGGUAACGGCUCACCUAGGCGACGAUCCCUAGCUGGUCUGAGAGGAUGACCAGCCACACUGGAACUGAGACACGGUCCAGACUCCUGCGGGAGGCAGCAGUGGGGAAUAUUGCACAAUGGGCGCAAGCCUGAUGCAGCCAUGCCGCGUGUAUGAAGAAGGCCUUCGGGUUGUAAAGUACUUUCAGCGGGGAGGAAGGGAGUAAAGUUAAUACCUUUACUCAUUGACGUUACCCGCAGAAGAAGCACCGGCUAACUCCGUG
RNAcentral lists this ribosomal RNA (490 nucleotides) under uncultured bacterium. RNAcentral's name for it is "partial 16S ribosomal RNA". It matches the Rfam family "Bacterial small subunit ribosomal RNA", at positions 30 to 507 of the family's 1533-position model. The record is from RNAcentral.